Molecule: long non-coding RNA, 1144 nt
Organism: Galleria mellonella (greater wax moth)
Lineage: Eukaryota; Metazoa; Arthropoda; Insecta; Lepidoptera; Pyralidae
Exons: 3
Source: RefSeq, a predicted model, not a curated record
AUUUAAACUGACGCAACAUUGUGUAAAAACUGAAACAUUUAUAUAUGUCACUUAUUUAUACAUGUGAGUUUGUAAAUAUUUACAAUCAACUCAACUUUGGAAAGUACUUAGGUACGUUUGUUCCGUUUGGAACAGGCUAAGGUCGGAGACCAUGCUGCCUAGUCUUCAAAAAGAUAAUUUGUCUGGAAUUUUAUUUUUCUAAUGUCGCUUCAAUUAUUGUCAUAAUCUUCAAUAUUUCAUUUGUCAAAUCCGAUGCUGCAACGCUCAGAAUUCUUACAGAAUUUAGCUAAAUGUCCAUACCUCAAGCACCGGUAGCAUUGUUUAACUGGUGGUAUAUAUGGAGUGACAUUGUGGCGCCAACCUCCAAUAUCCAGAUAUUCAGGUAAUACAGAUGCAGCAAAAGUAAUUGUCACGGUUAGAGUUGGCUGUAACACAUAUCCAUGAGUCAAGGUAUUUUUUCUUAAAAUUCUUUUAAUAGCAAUAAUUUUCUUAGAACUCGAUAUCAUAGUAUAUAUUUUUUUAUUAGAUAUAUUUGUAGGUACAUUUCUAAUAACGCCUGUAACUUCUGUUGAAGAAGCAGGAAUACUGGCCUUAAAAUGGUAGUCAUUUAAAAAAGUUUUAUUAUUUAAAAAAGCAUUGGCUAAGUCUGGCUUUUGAAAGUAUACUCCGAUUUUGAAUUUAUUUAUAGAUCUAAGAUAAGUUACCCCUUUAUUAAAUCGUUUUAAACAGGAGGAGAGUGAGAGCAAGUCUCUGGAUCCAAUGGUUUUCUGACUAUCUGAGGAUUCUACAAAGACAACAAAUUCUGUCCCAGGGGAUUCCUCGGGAUAUCUUCUAAUAUAAUCUGUGACGUAGUAAGGUUUAUACUUAUCGGCCUUAUCAAUUUCAGAUUCUGAGUCAGUAGAAGUAUCUUCCGAAUAUAUAUCCUUGUCAUUACAAGGUUCAUGGUCUACAUCACCUGAAUCGUCAUCUUUUUUUUUCCUUUUUCUACAACUGCGCUUCCCCAUGAAUACUAAUUAUAUUACUGUCGCUGAAUUUAGUGAAAAUAUAAUAUUUUAUUCAAUAAUAAGAAUUGAUAGAGAUAGUUUUAAUAAAUUAAUAAAAAAAAUUUAAAAAACCCGCUUGUUCUUAUUCGAGUUUCCCGCCU